RNAcentral lists this ribosomal RNA (433 nucleotides) under uncultured bacterium. RNAcentral's name for it is "partial 16S ribosomal RNA". It matches the Rfam family "Bacterial small subunit ribosomal RNA", at positions 28 to 507 of the family's 1533-position model. The record is from RNAcentral.
AGCGAACGCUGGCGGCAUGCUUAACACAUGCAAGUCGCACGGGCAGCAAUGUCAGUGGCGGACGGGUGAGUAGCGCGUAGGGACGUGUUCUGAGGUGGGUGACAACCCCGGGAGACUGGGGCUAAUACCGCAUAUGGGCUGAGGCCCAAAGCCGCGAGGCGCCUUUGGAGCGGCCUGCGUCCGAUUAGGUAGUUGGUGGGGUAAAGGCCUACCAAGCCUGCGAUCGGUAGCUAGUCUGAGAGGACGACCAGCCACUCUGGGACUGAGACACGGCCCGGACUCCUACGCGAGGCAGCAGUGGGGAAUAUUGGACAAUGGGCUGAAGCCUGAUCCAGCACUGCCGCGUGGGUGAAGAAGGUCUUCGGAUCGUAAAGCGCUUUCGACGGGGACGAUGAUGACGGUACCCGUAGAAGAAGCCCCGGCUAACUUCGUG